This is a long non-coding RNA of Canis lupus familiaris (dog), 1457 nucleotides long. RefSeq lists it as uncharacterized. Lineage: Eukaryota; Metazoa; Chordata; Mammalia; Carnivora; Canidae. The record is from RefSeq and is a predicted model, not a curated record. The transcript has 6 exons.
CCCGAAUGCCCCUCAGCGGUGCGGACGCCCGUUACCUGCCGUCUCACCGGGGGACUCCUGGGCAGCCUCUGCGCUCCGGGGUUCCGAGGUCGGAGCUGUGGGGGAACCGUUAGAAGAGAGAGGCGCUGCCUUCCAAAGAUCGAGGUUGGGUCGUCUGGAAAAGGAGGUCCUGCCCCCGAGGCUCUCCCUGAGGCGGCCUGAGGAGCACGGCGGGCGGCCCCGCUUCCUCAGGUGGACGCGGACGCGGUUGGGCCGCGAGUGGCCGGGCCGGUGAGCCGCACGCACCGACGUGGCUUCCGGUCUUCCCUCCCAGGACGGCACCGGCGGGCGGGCUCGAGGUGCUGUUUGUGACCUCCUCAGCGCCUACCCGCACGGUGGGUGGCAGAUGCGAGGCCGUGGGGUGCCGCCCCGCCCAUCCGGCGGCUGUCAGUGAGUAACCCUGCUUAGCGGGGGUGACGGCACGACCACUGUGGGGAUCCGGCUUCAUGACCGUGCGUGUCUGGUCCCUGUUUCGCACUUCUCUGGUACUGUGCCUUGCGUGAAGAUGAGUGUGUAUACCCACUUAAAAAUGUUUAAAUCAAGCCGAACCAUUCAUGCACGGUCUGUGAUCACAGAUUAUUUUCUGAGCGUCCUGAAAGCUGAUAAAGAAUUUCAGGAUGAUGACCACGACCGUGGGAACAGCAGCGAGAGGGCAGACUGGGUGACGGAGAUCCGGACAUCAAGUGUAUUUUAUAGGAGUGAAUGCAUGUAUCUUAGUGACACCAGCAUUAGGAGGGUGUAGCAUUGUGAAUAAAUAAAAAUAUUUGCUUUGAUCAGAAGACUGAAAUGACUCCCUCUUUGCUAUAAACAGUUUCAGGUGUACAACAUAAUGAUUUGAUACUUGGAAACACUGAAAUCAUCACCACAGUUGCAGUUCUUUGAAGUCUCAUCCCAAAUAAAGGGAGCUUCACCCAUUUGCUUGAUUCCCUUGUUUCCUCUGUGUUUCUCCUGUACCGCAUUUCCUUUUUUGCUCUACCUUGGUUGAUUCUGGGUUCUAGUUCCUAUCUCCCUACUCCUGAGAGGGUGUCAAAAGCACCUCUUCCAGAAUUGGCAAAUGCAGGGGUUACCUCUCUUAAUCUCCAUAUUUUGCAGUUUUUAAUCUGCCCAUCUAAAUGUCCAGUAGACAAAUGAAGAAAUGUUCAGUGUUCAACUCAUUAGUGACUAGAGAAUUGCAAAUUAAAAGAGAAACGUGCUACACAAUUACUUGAAUGACUUAAAUUUUUAAAAACGUCUAUAUCCAGUAAGAAGCAAGGACAUGGAGCAACAAGAGCAGAUGGAAAUAUAAUUGGUACAAACAGUUUAGUGUGUAGUAAAGAUGAAAAUGAGGCAGUCCUGUGACCAGAAAUUUCACAUUUAGGGUGUGCACAAGCAGGGGCAAUGCCGGAAGGAGAAGGAGAAGCAGACUUCCCGCUGAGCAG